GAGGUCAGGCUGAAGCCUUACCCGAUUAGCUGAGAGGUGGUGCAUGGCCGUCGUCAGUUCGUACUGUGAAGCAUCCUGUUAAGUCAGGCAACGAGCGAGACCCACGUCCACAGUUGCCAGCAUACCCUCCGGGGUGAUGGGUACACUGUGGAGACCGCCGCUGCUAAAGCGGAGGAAGGAGUGGGCAACGGUAGGUCAGUAUGCCCCGAAUCUCCCGGGCUACACGCGGGCUACAAUGGUUGGUACAAUGGGCAUCUACCCCGAAAGGGGAAGGAAAUCUCUUAAAGCCAAUCGUAGUUCGGAUUGAGGGCUGCAACUCGCCCUCAUGAAGCUGGAAUCCGUAGUAAUCGCGUUUCAACAGAACGCGGUGAAUACGUCCCUGCUCCUU
This 388-nucleotide ribosomal RNA is filed under the name uncultured Methanosaeta sp. Its description in RNAcentral is "bacterial SSU rRNA". It matches the Rfam family "Archaeal small subunit ribosomal RNA", at positions 950 to 1338 of the family's 1478-position model. Lineage: Archaea; Methanobacteriati; Methanobacteriota; Methanomicrobia; Methanotrichales; Methanotrichaceae. The record is from RNAcentral.